GUCUUUUACCGUUCAGGAGUUACGGUUCUUGAAAGAUUGUAAAAUGGCGUUUCCAUUCACGUUGUUGCAUUUACUCAUGAACUUUUCAAUCUAAGCUUUUCAAAUUUUAAUAUGUUGAUACUGAUGACAAAAUGGAGGUCAAAUUUGAUAUUGACGAUUUUCACUUUCACCAUUCAUCAGUAAUGGUUUUUGUGAUAUUGCUAGGAUACAAAUAAAUGUUAAUAAAUCCGGUUUGCUGUCGUUGUGACAGCCUCUUGUAUGAAA
Molecule: long non-coding RNA, 264 nt
Filed under: Mytilus galloprovincialis (Mediterranean mussel)
Lineage: Eukaryota; Metazoa; Mollusca; Bivalvia; Mytilida; Mytilidae
Source: RNAcentral